UACGGGGGGGGCAAGCGUUGUUCGGAAUUACUGGGCGUAAAGGGCGCGUAGGCGGCCUUCUAAGUCGGACGUGAAAGCCCCAGGCUUAACCUGGGAACUGCGUCCGAUACUGGGAGGCUUGGAUUCGGGAGAGGGAUGUGGAAUUCCAGGUGUAGCGGUGAAAUGCGUAGAUAUCUGGAGGAACACCGGUGGCGAAGGCGGCAUCCUGGACCGAGAUCGACGCUGAGGCGCGAAAGCUAGGGGAGCAAACGGG
Molecule: ribosomal RNA, 253 nt
Filed under: uncultured bacterium
Lineage: Bacteria
Description: partial 16S ribosomal RNA
Rfam family: Bacterial small subunit ribosomal RNA
Source: RNAcentral